UGGGGAAUUUUGGACAAUGGGCGAAAGCCUGAUCCAGCAAUGCCGCGUGUGUGAAGAAGGCCUUCGGGUUGUAAAGCACUUUUGUCCGGAAAGAAAUCCUCUGGGUUAAUACCUCGGGGGGAUGACGGUACCGGAAGAAUAAGCACCGGCUAACUACGUGCCAGCAGCCGCGGUAAUACGUAGGGUGCAAGCGUUAAUCGGAAUUACUGGGCGUAAAGCGUGCGCAGGCGGUUUUGUAAGACGGAUGUGAAAUCCCCGGGCUUAACCUGGGAACUGCAUUCGUGACUGCAAGGCUAGAGUAUGGCAGAGGGGGGUAGAAUUCCACGUGUAGCAGUGAAAUGCGUAGAGAUGUGGAGGAAUACCGAUGGCGAAGGCAGCCCCCUGGGCCAAUACUGACGCUCAUGCACGAAAGCGUGGGGAGCAAACAGGAUUAGAUACCCUGGUAGUCCACGCCCUAAACGAUGUCAACUAGUUGUUGGGGAUUCAUUUCCUUAGUAACGUAGCUAACGCGUGAAGUUGACCGCCUGGGGAGUACGGUCGCAAGAUUAAAACUCAAAGGAAUUGAC
This 566-nucleotide ribosomal RNA is filed under the name uncultured bacterium. Its description in RNAcentral is "partial 16S ribosomal RNA". It matches the Rfam family "Bacterial small subunit ribosomal RNA", at positions 355 to 914 of the family's 1533-position model. The record is from RNAcentral.